CGUCAAGAGUCUAGGCGCCGUUUCGGCGAACGAAUUUCUUUUGCCUGUUAGAAGGUGAAGAACGAUG
This is a regulatory RNA element of Rhizobium tibeticum, 67 nucleotides long. It matches the Rfam family "S-element". Rfam says of the family: This family represents a group of S-elements from p42d and related plasmids. The S-element has multiple functions and is believed to act as a negative regulator of repC transcription, be required for efficient replication and act as a translational enhancer of repC. NCBI's taxonomy places the organism in Bacteria, Pseudomonadati, Pseudomonadota, Alphaproteobacteria, Hyphomicrobiales, Rhizobiaceae. The record is from Rfam.